This 480-nucleotide ribosomal RNA is filed under the name uncultured bacterium. RNAcentral describes it as "bacterial SSU rRNA". It matches the Rfam family "Bacterial small subunit ribosomal RNA", at positions 28 to 526 of the family's 1533-position model. The record is from RNAcentral.
GAUCAACGCUGGCGGCGUGCCUAAUGCAUGCAAGUCGAACGUGCUCACCUUCGGGUGGGUGGCGUGGCGGACGGGUGAGGAACACGUGGGCAAGCUGCCCCGAGGCAGGGGGUAACCACCGGAAACGGUGGGUAAUUCCGUAUGUGGGUGCAGACCGAGUGGGGUUUGUACUGAAAGGGGUAACCCGCCUUGGGAGGCGCCUGCGGCCGAUUAGCUAGUUGGUGGGGUAACGGCCUACCAAGGCUGUGAUCGGUAGCUGGUCUGAGAGGAUGAUCAGCCACACGGGGACUGAGACACGGCCCCGACUCCUACGGGAGGCAGCAGCAAGGAAUUUUCCGCAAUGGGCGAAAGCCUGACGGAGCAACGCCGCGUGCGGGAUGACGCAUUUCGGUGUGUAAACCGCUGUUCGUGGGGACGAAGCACUGACGGUACCCACGGAGGAAGGCCCGGCUAACUACGUGCCAGCAGCCGCCGUAACAC